Molecule: ribosomal RNA, 898 nt
Filed under: Escherichia coli
Lineage: Bacteria; Pseudomonadati; Pseudomonadota; Gammaproteobacteria; Enterobacterales; Enterobacteriaceae
Description: partial 23S ribosomal RNA
Rfam family: Bacterial large subunit ribosomal RNA
Source: RNAcentral
GAACGGGGAGGAGCCCAGAGCCUGAAUCAGUGUGUGUGUUAGUGGAAGCGUCUGGAAAGGCGCGCGAUACAGGGUGACAGCCCCGUACACAAAAAUGCACAUGCUGUGAGCUCGAUGAGUAGGGCGGGACACGUGGUAUCCUGUCUGAAUAUGGGGGGACCAUCCUCCAAGGCUAAAUACUCCUGACUGACCGAUAGUGAACCAGUACCGUGAGGGAAAGGCGAAAAGAACCCCGGCGAGGGGAGUGAAAAAGAACCUGAAACCGUGUACGUACAAGCAGUGGGAGCACAGAGCAAUCUGUGUGACUGCGUACCUUUUGUAUAAUGGGUCAGCGACUUAUAUUCUGUAGCAAGGUUAACCGAAUAGGGGAGCCGAAGGGAAACCGAGUCUUAACUGGGCGUUAAGUUGCAGGGUAUAGACCCGAAACCCGGUGAUCUAGCCAUGGGCAGGUUGAAGGUUGGGUAACACUAACUGGAGGACCGAACCGACUAAUGUUGAAAAAUUAGCGGAUGACUUGUGGCUGGGGGUGAAAGGCCAAUCAAACCGGGAGAUAGCUGGUUCUCCCCGAAAGCUAUUUAGGUAGCGCCUCGUGAAUUCAUCUCCGGGGGUAGAGCACUGUUUCGGCAAGGGGGUCAUCCCGACUUACCAACCCGAUGCAAACUGCGAAUACCGGAGAAUGUUAUCACGGGAGACACACGGCGGGUGCUAACGUCCGUCGUGAAGAGGGAAACAACCCAGACCGCCAGCUAAGGUCCCAAAGUCAUGGUUAAGUGGGAAACGAUGUGGGAAGGCCCAGACAGCCAGGAUGUUGGCUUAGAAGCAGCCAUCAUUUAAAGAAAGCGUAAUAGCUCACUGGUCGAGUCGGCCUGCGCGGAAGAUGUAACGGGGCUAAACCAUG